UACAGAGGGGGCAAGCGUUGUUCGGAAUUACUGGGCGUAAAGGGCGCGUAGGCGGCCUGUUAAGUCAGACGUGAAAUCCCUCGGCUCAACCGGGGAACUGCGUCUGAUACUGGCGGGCUUGAAUUCGGGAGAGGGAUGUGGAAUUCCAGGUGUAGCGGUGAAAUGCGUAGAUAUCUGGAGGAACACCGGUGGCGAAGGCGGCAUCCUGGACCGACAUUGACGCUGAGGCGCGAAAGCGUGGGGAGCGAACAGG
RNAcentral lists this ribosomal RNA (253 nucleotides) under uncultured bacterium. RNAcentral describes it as "partial 16S ribosomal RNA". It matches the Rfam family "Bacterial small subunit ribosomal RNA", at positions 524 to 776 of the family's 1533-position model. The record is from RNAcentral.